Molecule: long non-coding RNA, 1960 nt
Organism: Gallus gallus (chicken)
Lineage: Eukaryota; Metazoa; Chordata; Aves; Galliformes; Phasianidae
Source: Ensembl
CUCUAUCUGGAGAUCACCCCUCUUGGAGCCCUUCUGCAAGCCAGGCCAUGGGUGUAAAAGAGAACCACCACCAUCGCUACAUUUGUUGUAUGCACUGCGUAGAGUUCUUCCAAAUGGUACAAAGGAUGUGAACAAAAUGACUUCCUGUGUUAACACAUACUUCAAAUGUCAAGUUAGGUCCACCAGGAAAAAGCAUGCUUCAUUCAAAUGGAGGGACAGACACAGAACAGAAACCCAGAUCUGGAAUCUGGUGAGAACAGGAAGGGAAAAGAGAAAACCCAAACCCUGGGGCCGUGGAGGUGUUCACGCUGCUGCUUUGCCCUGUGUGCCUCUGCCUCCAUCGCGAGCGGCUCUUGUGGGGGGCUGGCAAACUCCUCCGAGGGAACAAAAGCAUCUCACAACGUCUGCGUUCAACUCAAACCACAUCUUCAGGGAUUCUGAGAAGGACUGAAUCCUACCAAGGAAGUUUUGCCAUUCUAUUUCCCCCUCAUCUCCAGUUACUUCCUGCCUUUUGCACAGCUUUGGGCUAGCCAGGUGCUUUCUAGGAGAGAAAAAUCAGAGCUGUUACCACUGUUCAGUCCCAACAACACUUCCACAGUCUGUUUGGGAUGAGGCCAUCUGGUGAAUCCCCACAACUCAGCCCCUUCACGGUGGUUUUGCACUGUGACCAGAGAUGACACACAACGGGAUGUAACCGCCUGCAUUUUGCAUGGAGGAAUGGGGAGGUGCAGUGCUCUGCCUGAGCACACAGUAAAUCUGUGGCGGAGCCAGAAGCCUUAAGAACGAGCCUUGUAUUCAAAGCAAAAUACCCUCCUUCUGCCAAGCCAAGAAAGAGUGAAAGGAGAGGGCAGCAGAUCAUUUCAUCCAUUGGAGGAGAAGGGGGUACAACGCCAUUCAUGGGCUGAUGAGCAGCCUGAGACUUAGCACUGUGGACCAUCCCCAGGGACCCAUUGCCAAUGCUGCUGUUGCAGAAGACACAAAGACACGUUUACUGUCUGAAGGAGAGGAUGCAGCCACAUCACUCCUCGGUCCGUCUGCCAACCGCUCCGUGGCCAAACGAUGCUAUGGAAAAUGAGCCCCUUGCCAACCCUAAAGGGAAGCUGUAUUGCUUCUUGCCAGGAGGAUGGAAAGAGCCAUGCAGCUGGCACAGGCUUCAUGCUUCUGAUACUGAUAGAACAAGUUCUUGUCAGGGUAGUGUCUGUGCAUUAGCUAUUGGUCAGAAGGCCUUGCUCAAGUCCUUCCACUUGAUGCUGAACAAGCCAACAUCAGAUGUUUGUCACCAAACCCAAUGCCCUGGCUCAAAGCAAAAGCAGUGAGGAAAGCUCCCAGCUGAACCCAACGUUACUCAGGAGAAAAGAGAAACUGUAAAGCAAACUGGAAGAAAAUGGAGCUGUGAGUGUGAACAUACACAGCUCUGUACCCCUGCAGGAUUAACAAAGGCUGGAACUGAAGACUGAGGACCAGUUCCCUGCAUGCUGCUGCUGUUCUGAUAACAUCUCUCAGAACUCCAAUCUUCGAAGACUAAUUUUAAUGACCUUGGUAGUAAGUUUGGAUUAUUACAGGUUAUUUUUUGUAUUCCAUUGUUCAGCUUCAGCAACAAGGUUAGUAUUUUAUCAUAUCCUCAAUUCAGACUGCUCAGUGACAAGUGCUGGGCCAUAUGUAUGCUUAAUCUUUUCCAGUGCCUGGAAAAAGUUUGACUUUCCCUAUGUUCAGCACAGUAACCUCAGUGUCUGUGGUGUGUUUUUCUCUGGUGAUGUACUAAGUGAAAGUGAAGCUCCCCAGCCAUGCUGCUCCCCACAGAGGGGGAUAUGAGCUGAGAACCACAGAUCUGAGACCUCUGUGUCCCAAGCAUGUUGGAGCUGGGGAAGGAGGGGAGAGGGCACUGCUGUGCAACAGCCUUCACACUGCUAAAAAUGCGUGUAUUUAACCCUCAUCAACAAUUGCUGCCAUUAAAUUCAGC